GUCGGGAGCGGACAGCCCGCAUCCCUGGAAAGGCAUCGGCGGCGGGCUGCUGCGGGCCGAGCCGGGGAGACGCUCAGUUAUCGGGUGCUGGCUCCCAGAUAUUUGUUUCGUUUCCUUUUGCGUUUUGGCUUUGUUCCACAUUAGUGGCCCGCCCGAACCUGUAUUCUUUCCAUCAAAGGAGAUGGAGAUUUUCCAGGAUUAUGGGUUCCAGGAGGGCAGUUCACCACCCACUCACCCCCACCCAGAGUGACUGGGGAGCUCUGCAUUUGUGCUGGGACAGGAGAGACAAGACUCGAGCUUAUGCCUCAGGAUCUGCAGUGAAAAGUGAAGGGGCCAGGUCCAGGCACAGGACAUCAGCUCCAUGACCAUGGAAACUCUGUAGAAGUUGCCCACUCUCAACAUCCCAUAGAGCACAAGUUCCAUCUCCACUUGCUGUCAAGAUCUAUAGGAUGUGGG
This is a long non-coding RNA of Poecile atricapillus (Black-capped chickadee), 456 nucleotides long. RefSeq lists it as uncharacterized. Lineage: Eukaryota; Metazoa; Chordata; Aves; Passeriformes; Paridae. The record is from RefSeq and is a predicted model, not a curated record. The transcript is spliced from 3 exons.